UAGGGAAUCUUCCACAAUGGACGCAAGUCUGAUGGAGCAACGCCGCGUGAGUGAAGAAGGUUUUCGGACCGUAAAGCUCUGUUGUUGGUGAAGAAGGAUAGAGGUAGUAACUGGCCUUUAUUUGACGGUAAUCAACCAGAAAGUCACGGCUAACUACGUGCCAGCAGCCGCGGUAAUACGUAGGUGGCAAGCGUUGUCCGGAUUUAUUGGGCGUAAAGCGAGCGCAGGCGGAAGAAUAAGUCUGAUGUGAAAGUCCUCGGCUUAACCGAGGAAUUGCAUCGGAAACUGUUU
This 291-nucleotide ribosomal RNA is filed under the name uncultured bacterium. RNAcentral's name for it is "partial 16S ribosomal RNA". It matches the Rfam family "Bacterial small subunit ribosomal RNA", at positions 355 to 638 of the family's 1533-position model. The record is from RNAcentral.